Molecule: transfer RNA, 66 nt
Filed under: Empoascanara circumscripta
Lineage: Eukaryota; Metazoa; Arthropoda; Insecta; Hemiptera; Cicadellidae
Description: tRNA-Leu
Source: RNAcentral
UCUAAUGUGACAGAAGUAAUGUGGUGAGCUUAAAAUUCAUUUAUAAAUGUUUUCAUUUCUUUAGAA